AGGAUGAACGCUAGCGGUUUGCCUAACACAUGCAAGUUGCACGGCGCCAUACCUCUCGGGGUAUGGUGCAGUGGCGGACGGGUGAGUAACGCGUAAGGACCUGCCCCUGGGAGGGGGAUAACAGCUGGAAACGGCUGCUAAUACCCCAUAGCCUGAGGAGGGAAAGGAGAGAUCCGCCCAGGGAGGGGCUUGCGUCUGAUUAGCUAGUUGGGAGGGGUAAUGGCCUCCCAAGGCAACGAUCAGUUGCUGGUCUGAGAGGAUGAUCAGCCACACUGGGACUGAGACACGGCCCAGACUCCUACGGGAGGCAGCAGUGAGGAAUCUUCCGCAAUGGGCGAAAGCCUGACGGGGCAAUGCCGCGUGGAGGAUGAAGGCCCAAUGGGUCGUAAACUUCUUUAGAUCAGAGACGAAGAGAUGACGGUACCUGAAGAACUAAGCAUCGGCUAAACCCGCGCCAGCAGCCGC
Molecule: ribosomal RNA, 465 nt
Filed under: uncultured bacterium
Lineage: Bacteria
Description: SSU rRNA
Rfam family: Bacterial small subunit ribosomal RNA
Source: RNAcentral